This 71-nucleotide transfer RNA is filed under the name Immersiella caudata. RNAcentral describes it as "Cercophora caudata tRNA". Lineage: Eukaryota; Fungi; Ascomycota; Sordariomycetes; Sordariales; Lasiosphaeriaceae. The record is from Rfam by way of RNAcentral.
GCGUCAGUGGUUUAGUGGUAAAAUCCAUCGUUGCCAUCGAUGGGCCCCGCGCGCGAUUCGCGGCUGACGCA